AGGGUUUUAGUUAAAUAUAACAUCUGACCUGCAAUCAGAAAGUAUUGAAUAAUCAAUUUACCUUU
This 65-nucleotide transfer RNA is filed under the name Zhengitettix curvispinus. RNAcentral describes it as "tRNA-Ala". It matches the Rfam family "tRNA". From Rfam's summary of the family: Transfer RNA (tRNA) molecules are approximately 80 nucleotides in length. Their secondary structure includes four short double-helical elements and three loops (D, anti-codon, and T loops). Further hydrogen bonds mediate the characteristic L-shaped molecular structure. tRNAs have two regions of fundamental functional importance: the anti-codon, which is responsible for specific mRNA codon recognition, and the 3' end, to which the tRNAs corresponding amino acid is attached (by aminoacyl-tRNA synthetases). tRNAs cope with the degeneracy of the genetic code in two manners: having more than one tRNA (with a specific anti-codon) for a particular amino acid; and 'wobble' base-pairing, i.e. permitting non-standard base-pairing at the 3rd anti-codon position. Lineage: Eukaryota; Metazoa; Arthropoda; Insecta; Orthoptera; Tetrigidae. The record is from RNAcentral.